GACUCUCGGCAACGGAUAUCUCGGCUCUCGCAUCGAUGAAGAACGUAGCAAAAUGCGAUACUUGGUGUGAAUUGCAGAAUCCCGUGAACCAUCGAGUCUUUGAACGCAAGUUGCGCCCCAAGCCUUCUGGCCGAGGGCACGUCUGCCUAGGUGUCA
RNAcentral lists this ribosomal RNA (156 nucleotides) under Brassica napus (rape). RNAcentral's name for it is "rRNA 5_8S_rRNA". It matches the Rfam family "5.8S ribosomal RNA". From Rfam's summary of the family: 5.8S ribosomal RNA (5.8S rRNA) is a component of the large subunit of the eukaryotic ribosome. It is transcribed by RNA polymerase I as part of the 45S precursor that also contains 18S and 28S rRNA. Lineage: Eukaryota; Viridiplantae; Streptophyta; Magnoliopsida; Brassicales; Brassicaceae. The record is from RNAcentral.